RNAcentral lists this ribosomal RNA (301 nucleotides) under uncultured bacterium. RNAcentral's name for it is "partial 16S ribosomal RNA". It matches the Rfam family "Bacterial small subunit ribosomal RNA", at positions 509 to 807 of the family's 1533-position model. The record is from RNAcentral.
CAGUCGCCGCGGUAAUACGUAGGGUGCGAGCGUUAAUCGGAAUUACUGGGCGUAAAGCGUGCGCAGGCGGUUUGUUAAGACAGAUGUGAAAUCCCCGGGCUCAACCUGGGAACUGCAUUUGUGACUGGCAGGCUAGAGUAUGGCAGAGGGGGGUGGAAUUCCGCGUGUAGCAGUGAAAUGCGUAGAUAUGCGGAGGAACACCGAUGGCGAAGGCAGCCCCCUGGGCCAAUACUGACGCUCAUGCACGAAAGCGUGGGGAGCAAACAGGAUUAGAUACCCCAGUAGUCCCUGUCUCUUAUAC